UACGGAAGGCAGCAGGGGGAAUAUUGCACAAUGGGCGAAAGCCUGAUGCAGCUAUGCCGCGUGUAUGAAGAAGGCCUUAGGGUUGUAAAGUACUUUCAUCGGGGAGGAAAAACAAAACUAAUAAUUUUAUUUCUUGACGUUACCCGAAAAAGAAGCACCGGCUAACUCCGUGCCAGCAGCCGCGGUAAUACGGAGGGUGCUAGCGUUAAUCAGAAUUACUGGGCGUAAAGAGCACGUAGGUGGUUUUUUAAGUCAGAUGUGAAAUCCCUGGGCUUAACCUAGGAACUGCAUUUUGAAACUGAAAUACUAGAGUAUCGUAGAGGGAGGUAGAAUUCUAGGUGUAGCGGUGAAAUGCGUAGAUAUCUGGAGGAAUACCUGUGGCGAAAGCGGCCUCCUAAACGAAUACUGACACUGAGGGUGCGAAAGCGUGGGGAGCAAACAGGGAUUAGAUACC
This 454-nucleotide ribosomal RNA is filed under the name uncultured bacterium. Its description in RNAcentral is "bacterial SSU rRNA". It matches the Rfam family "Bacterial small subunit ribosomal RNA", at positions 340 to 786 of the family's 1533-position model. The record is from RNAcentral.